CAUGCAAGUAGACGCACAGGAUGCACCGUAGUUUACUACACCGUAUUCUGUGAGUUGCGAACGGGUGAGUAACGCGUAGGUAACCUGCCUGGUAGCGGGGGAUAACUAUUGGAAACGAUAGCUAAUACCGCAUAAGAACAUUUACUGCAUGGUAGAUGUUUAAAAGGUGCAAAUGCAUCACUACCAGAUGGACCUGCGUUGUAUUAGCUAGUAGGUGAGGUAACGGCUCACCUAGGCGACGAUACAUAGCCGACCUGAGAGGGUGAUCGGCCACACUGGGACUGAGACACGGCCCAGACUCCUACGGGAGGCAGCAGUAGGGAAUCUUCGGCAAUGGGGGGAACCCUGACCGAGCAACGCCGCGUGAGUGAAGAAGGUUUUCGGAUCGUAAAGCUCUGUUGUUAAGGAAGAACGAGUGUGAGAAUGGAAAGUUCAUACUGUGACGGUACUUAACCAGAAAGGGACGG
Molecule: ribosomal RNA, 467 nt
Filed under: Streptococcus intermedius
Lineage: Bacteria; Bacillati; Bacillota; Bacilli; Lactobacillales; Streptococcaceae
Description: bacterial SSU rRNA
Rfam family: Bacterial small subunit ribosomal RNA
Source: RNAcentral